This 122-nucleotide ribosomal RNA is filed under the name Sphingomonas sp. Its description in RNAcentral is "partial 23S ribosomal RNA". It matches the Rfam family "Bacterial large subunit ribosomal RNA", at positions 2787 to 2925 of the family's 2925-position model. Lineage: Bacteria; Pseudomonadati; Pseudomonadota; Alphaproteobacteria; Sphingomonadales; Sphingomonadaceae. The record is from RNAcentral.
GGGAAGCCUCCCUCGAGAUAAGGUAUCUUUGAGCCGUGGAAGACCACCACGUUGAUAGGCCGGGUGUGGAAGCGCAGUAAUGCGUGAAGCUAACCGGUCCUAAUUGCUCAUUUCGCGCUUGA